GGACGAACGCUGGCGGCGUGCUUAACACAUGCAAGUCGAACGGAAAGGCUUCUUUCGGGGGGUACUCGAGUGGCGAACGGGUGAGUAACACGUGAGUAACCUGCCCUUGACUUUGGGAUAACUUCAGGAAACUGGGGCUAAUACCGGAUAGGAGCUCCUGCUGCAUGGUGGGGGUUGGAAAGUUUCGGCGGUUGGGGAUGGACUCGCGGCUUAUCAGCUUGUUGGUGGGGUAGUGGCUUACCAAGGCUUUGACGGGUAGCCGGCCUGAGAGGGUGACCGGCCACAUUGGGACUGAGAUACGGCCCAGACUCCUACGGGAGGCAGCAGUGGGGAAUAUUGCACAAUGGGUGGAAGCCUGAUGCAGCAACGCCGUGUGCGGGAUGACGGCCUUCGGGUUGUAAACCGCUUUCGCUCAUGACGAAGCUUUGUGUGACGGUAGUGGGUAAAGAAGCACCGGCUAACUACGUG
This 468-nucleotide ribosomal RNA is filed under the name uncultured bacterium. RNAcentral describes it as "partial 16S ribosomal RNA". It matches the Rfam family "Bacterial small subunit ribosomal RNA", at positions 27 to 507 of the family's 1533-position model. The record is from RNAcentral.